This 407-nucleotide ribosomal RNA is filed under the name uncultured bacterium. RNAcentral's name for it is "partial 16S ribosomal RNA". It matches the Rfam family "Bacterial small subunit ribosomal RNA", at positions 28 to 526 of the family's 1533-position model. The record is from RNAcentral.
GACGAACGCUGGCGGGAUGCCUUACACAUGCAAGUCGAACGGAGUGGCGAACGGGUGAGUAAUGUAUCGGAACGUGCCCAGUAGCGGGGGAUAACUACGCGAAAGCGUAGCUAAUACCGCAUACUCUUGGAGCGGCCGAUAUCGGAUUAGCUAGGUGGUGGGGUAACGGCUCACCAAGGCGACGGUCCGUAGCUGGUUUGAGAGGACGACCAGCCCAACUGGGCCGGAGAAACGGCCCAGACUCCUACGGGAGGCAGCGGUGGGGAAUUUUGGAAAAUGGGGGAAACCCUGAUCCAGCCAUCCCGCGUGUGCGAUGAAGGCUUGCGGGUUGUAAAGCACUUUUGGCAGGAAAGCGGUACCUGCAGAAUAAGCACCGGCUAACUACGUGCCAGCAGCCGCGGUAAUUC